AGGAAAAGAAGGGAAGAGAAAGAAAAAAGAGAAAAUGGAGGUAUAUGAUAGAUAGGAAAGGAAGAGCCACAAAGAUAGCCUGUCCACUGUUGCCUGAGCACUGCCAUGGAGACAUUGUGAGGUAGGCCUCAGAGCUGGAGAAGAGAGGAAGCAGGCAGGCAGCAGUUCUGGCACCACCCAGGCAAUUCCAGUGGCCCAAAACACUGGAAGGAGAGCUUACUUAUUAAGCAGAACACUUUCUACUGGCUUCUUUUUGAAUCUUUAUAAGAAGAAAAUAUAGUUGACAUUUUGAAUGAAACUUCAACAUUCAAGAAGAGGCCCAGAAUAUCUCAAGAGACCAGCCCCCCUCUCCAACUACAGCCUUGAGGCAGAAGAGCAUAACAAAAUAUGCUAUAGUGUAAGUUCAUGGUUUAAUGUAGAGAUGUUUACUAAGUCCAUCAGACUUUACGAGAGAUGUGAACCCACCUACUGAUCACAAUAAAGAUAAGGGCAACUAUGCACCUUUCUUUUUUCCACUGCCUUAUUGAAUCCAUUUUGGAAAAUCCAUCCUGGAAGAAUGCUUGAUUUAGCAACGGCUUCAUACUUACCAUGACAAUUAAUAUUACAUACAUCCCCCAAUGGCGCAGCAGGUUAAACUACUGAGCUGCUGAACUUGAUGCCCAAAAGGUCGGCUGUUCGAAUCCAAAGAGCAGGGAGAGCUCCCACUGUUAGUCCCAGCUUCUGCCAACCUAGCAGUUCAAAAACAUGCAAAUGGGAGUAGACCAAUAGGUACCGCUACAGUGGGAAGGUGACAGCACUCCAUGCAGUCAUGCCAGCCACAUGACCUUGGAGGUGUCUACAGACAACGCUGGCUAUUCGUCUUAGAAAUGGAGAUGAGUACCAACCUCCAGUUGGACACGACUAGAUUUAAUGUCAAGGGAAAACAUUUACCUUUACUUACAUCAGUUAAUUCAAGCUGUAGGCAAUCCUUUGCUGUAUCAACAAAAUUUUUAUAAAGAUUUGGAAAUAAUUUCUACUGCAUUAACUAGUUAAAGUAAUAGGAAAGUCAAAUGAAUAAUUUAUUUACUAAGGCAGAGUAGUGAGUAACAAAGAUGAAAGUCCACAUUUUUAUGCGAUUAAAAACAAACAAACAAAGAGUACGUUAUUAGUGCUGAGAGACCAACAGAUCCCGCAAAUUUCUAUUUUGGUACAUCCUCAUCAUACAGUGAAUAACUUCACUUUAACAUAUGAUGGAUAUUUGUGUAUGGGACUUCAAAUUGUCAGCUUAUAGCAACACCAUGAAUUUACCCUGAUUUAAAUGUAGAUGCAUGUAGAACGUUGAAGAUAUUAUAUAUCUCAAUACAAAGGCAAGAAUGAAACAAAAUUUAUGAAAGCAUGGCAUGUGCACCAUUCUCUCGUUGCACUGAACAAGUGAAAAAGAUCAAAAUAUAGUUUUCAACCCAAAAUCACUGUCAGUGAAAUAACACAGACAGGACCACUGACCCAAAAUAUGAUAUCUCUGUACAGAUUCGCUUUUGCAUAGCAGCUUCUUCUCCCAUAAAAAAGACCCAGCUAAUGAGAUUCAAUUCACACCAUAAGAAAAUACUCAUAGCCAUGCUUUCGAGUUCAUAGUUUCAUUCAACUAAAAACAAAAAAUAUACAUGACAAACCAUGACAGCGCAGGGAGAAUGGCAAAUUUUGUGAGCUACCCUCAUUCUGUCUUGCAAACCUCACACACAAACUCAAAAUGGAUCUGAAGCACAAAGGUGGGUGGAAAGGGGGAAAAUGUAAAAAAAUAUGGUGCUACUUGUGCACUAAGAAGUACAUACUCUGGACCAGCUAGGUAGAGUGGACAACAAUAGUCAGCUCAGAAGGAACUUUUGGUUUUAACUCAUUGAAAACUCUGCUUUUAAAAGUUACCUCCUUUGAAAGCCACGUGCACCAGGUCAGGAGGGGAAAAACAGAGAAGGAACAAAUGCAUGGCCCCAUGGCUUGAUUAACCGUAUUUUAAUUGACUAAGAUCAUGAUGUGAAAGCCAGUGUCACUUCUAAACCUAUGCCACAAAAUUAUCAGAGGUCCCACAACCUCUGUCCUUUGGCAUGCACCAUCUUCAGUUACAACUGGAAAGAGACCGCCUUAAUUUUAUGGAUCACUAGGUAAGGGAGGAUCUCUAGCAGUAAUCGGUAGCACAAAUCUCACUGUCUGUGCACAAAUGCACACCAGCCAUUAUCUGCAACUGAAAUAAAUAAAACCCAGAUACUCUCUGGGUUAUUUCUAAUCCUAUUCCAUCAUUUCGUUUGAGCAUACAAAGUACUGAUGGUUUUACAUGUUCCGUGAAGCACAAUCCAAAGUCUGUCUGAAAAUAACCUUAAUUUGUCUGUACUUUGUAUGUGUAAUGAUGGAAAUUAACAUUGUUCAGCUAGUUUUUGCUUGAAGGCAGCAAUAUACAACAAUCAAUCAAAGUUUUUUUUUAAACCGUAAUCCUACUUGUCCUUAAUAUAACCCCAUUUCCUACCUCCUUUGAGGCAACAUACUAAAUUCAGCAUUUAUUGAAAAAAAGGGUUCUUCACCUUUUUGUAAAGGACUUUAAAAGGAGGUAACCUUUACUCUAGAGACUGGUUACUGCCCUAGAAACAGAUAUGUGGGCAUCAUUGUAUAGAUUUCAUAGCUUUUGUAUGCUACUCCUAUAUGCUACUAUGGCUUCCAGCAGGAUUUCAUUUAAAAAUGUACAUCAAUUCUACAUAUCCCAAAUAAGCUCUGCACAGGAGUUUUUAACAUACUCCUUCCACUCUCUGUCUUAGCAAGCAGAGUCCUGUAGCACAGAAUUGCUCAUGACAUCCACUUCAUCAUUUCUUCUUGCACACUUGAAGCCUUUUCAAUCAUAGCACAGGGAUCCCUGUGGAUGGUUAGAUUUCAUAAACCCACAAUUGUUUCCUAACAUACUGUCAAAAAAGAGCCACAAAUCAUCCUUACAUGCACGCACACAGACACUGUCACAAGGCAUGAAAGAGUCAAAGUAGGAACAAAGUCUCUACAUCACAUUGGGUAAAAAACAAAACAAAACAAAAACCGAAACCUGGACAUUCCCAGAGCUCUAUCAUAGCGAAGUACAUAUCCAAAAAGCAUGAAAAGCUGAGGCAAACCAUCAAGUGGGUCCACAGAACAGGUACUCAUUUCCAAGCUGUCCAGAGCUCCAUCACCACAACAUGAAUUGUCACCCAUCGAAGUGUUGCAGUUGCUAUUGGCUGGUGACUUCUUUAUCUUCUUCAUACCCUCAGGCCAAUCCUUAUCAUGACUCAUGAUUGCAAAGUUUCAUUCCUGGCCAGUGUGGCAGUUUCAACAGGCCACUGAAUGCAACUACUAUCACUUAACUCUGAACAAGCAGCAGCAGCAUUUUAUAAUUAAUGCCUACUGCAUGCCAUCAGUGGUAUAUAGUACAAGGUUGUUCCCCUAACAGAAGACAACAUGCUGUGGUCACAGGAUGAGUUUCAUUUGCUUUUGUGGGUAUGUGUUGGUGUCCAGAUGCCAAAACAGGCAAUGAAGCUGUAUAUGCAAGAGAAGAUCUGACAAGUUCAAGUCUCCAUCUAUUUUAAGAUGAUGUGGUAACUAUCAUUGGUUUCAGCUGCAAAGAAAGCAUAGCAUCAUCAAUGUCUGAUUAAAUAAAAAGCGUACAUCCCUGCUGUCUUUCACCCACUUCCCAAUGAAAAGGAUGGAUGGCUGCACAAGAGAUAUGUUACACUGUCUGUGCUUUUGAUAUUCAGUUGGGGUUGCAGGGGCAGGAGAAUAUAUUGAGUUCUAUGUUCUCCAGGAUGGGAAAAUGUAGUGUUGUGCAUUGAAAGAAAGAAAGAAAAAACAAGUACCUUUCAUUGUGUCCAAGAUAAAACAUGAUUCAUCUUGAAAGUUCUGUAUCAUCUAAAAGAAAGAAUAAAAAAAUGUAAACUGUAGAGAUCUGGCCACUGUUCACUCAUCAAAGGCCAAUUGCACUAUUUUAGAUAUAAGAAGUGUUCAAACAAUCUGCCCAUCUUAAAAAAAUAAUCAUACUUACUUCAAUUAUGCUUUGAGUAAAGUGCAAAGACCUCACAUCCUUGCAACACUUUUAAGCUGCUACUAUUGAAAUAAACCCAGUGCCAAAGAAUUGAGAAAAGGUUCUUUAAAAACUUUCUAGAAUAUUCUUUCCUAACUUCCAAGGUAAGAACCACAAUGUUUCAUUUCAUUCAUCUGUGUCUACUUUUGGAGACUAUUCAAUUACCCUAGCUCCCACUCUCUCUUUUGAGUUCCCUACAAAGAUGAUUUGGAUACCAACUUGCUAAUACACUUGGUGCUUUGUCCUCCUUCAAAUUAACACUACAGGCAGUACUCAAACUACAAACACCUCUCAAAAAUGACUCAUAGUGAAUUAUGGGGCGAGACAACAGAAAGUAAGAGCAAUCUACCUCUAGGAAGAGAAAUUCACUCCUGAAAGAAUUAUGGGGAAAGGGUAUCUCCACUGAAGCUUUAUCACCAAUCUUUCUUUCCACAACAAGCCAUGUUUUUCAAAUUUCCAAUUCUCACAGGGACAGAAAGUGAGGUGAAAUCUCCUGAACAGGAGCACAGACAGCAAAACAAAAACCUCAAGCCACCUCCACAGCAAAUACAAGACUGCUAUGAACAUGGUAGAUUUUGUGUUUAUGGUAAACCAUUCUGAACAAGUUCUCAUCUGGAAAUAAGGGGAUGGAUCCAGACUUUGUCCUACUUAAGAGUAGACCUACUAAAAGCAAGGGGGCUUCAAUUAGUAUAACACAGUUGUCUCCAUCUAGUGUCUUCCAUAGUUUAGAUUAUAAUUCCCAAAUCUUUUGACCAUUGGCUAUUCUGGCUGGCGUUAAUGAGAGUCUGGAGAGCAGCAAGUUAGGGAAGGUUAAACUAAACAAAAAAUAUGGACUCAACACAAUGAGUCACUAUGAGAUCAUGUUAAUGUCAAUUUUCCUUUUUAAUUCUAAGAGAUUGGAUUAAUCUUUAAUCGCUUAUAUUUAUUUCCACUGUUUCUGAAUAUCCUCAAGGCACUCUUACCUCAUCACUUAUAAGUACAUGUAUCCCUGUGGGUCCUUGUUUGUAGAUCUGACUUAUCUGUUGAGCAGAAAUGCUAAAAAGUUGGGCAAUUUUCUCUGUCAACUCCACAGCAGUCAACUCUUCUAAGUAGAUGGCAUGAUACAC
This is a long non-coding RNA of Anolis carolinensis (green anole), 5169 nucleotides long. RefSeq lists it as uncharacterized. Lineage: Eukaryota; Metazoa; Chordata; Lepidosauria; Squamata; Anolidae. The transcript has 2 exons. The record is from RefSeq and is a predicted model, not a curated record.